RNAcentral lists this long non-coding RNA (2292 nucleotides) under Olea europaea subsp. europaea. Lineage: Eukaryota; Viridiplantae; Streptophyta; Magnoliopsida; Lamiales; Oleaceae. The record is from RNAcentral.
CCACAGAAGACAAUAGAAUGAGUAGAACAGCCAAGGAACAGUUAAAAUUUCAAUACCUACCAAAAUUGUGGAAACAAAAAAGAUGAUUAUUUAUAUAAUCCAAGAAUUUCAUGCGAAUAACCAAUUAAGAUUUUCUGUUUGUUUGCAAGCUCUAAUCUUAACCAAUUACAAAUCCCAAAAUAACAAUGCCAAGGACGAAGCCCCUGUUAUUCAAAUAAGAUGAUUCAAGUUCUACAAAGCAGUAAAAUAUAGCCAAGGAUGAGUUGCCAAUUCUCCAUCGGAGUGCAAGCUCAAGUUGUGGUGCUGAUUGGUGCACAUUUAUCGAUAAAUAAUUGAAGCAUGUCAUCAGGUGGUUGGAAAAUAUCGUGCUUGUUCAAUAUGUUCGAGAAAUCAGAGUUAGCAGGCAAGAGACCCCAACUGCUACUUUCCGAAUGAUGAAUCUCAGCUUCUGUCUUUGUUGAACUAUUUUAAAGAGAGAUUUUUACCAUAUGUUUUGGAUGAAAGCUUUGAUUGUUGUGUAUUCUUCGUGUUUAAAAACCACCCUCUGGAACUCCUAGCCCUCUUUAAUGCAUGAAAAUGCCUAGAUUCGUGAAGAUAUGGCUACAAUAGGGAAAGACAAAAACAAUUAAUAGCAUAGAAACAUGUAAUUUUAUGUAGAGCAAUAAAACGAAGGAUCAAAAGUUACAAUUACCUUUCUUGACUUGGUCAGCUUAUUCUGAGCCUCAUGCAGACACUAAACAAGAUAUAAAAUACAUCCCAUUGCAUUGGAUUAAUUCCAUAUACGUAUAACCACAUUCAAAUUUUUUCAGGGCAUUAACAUUAUUGAGGUACAUGAUUCAUCAAACUUGAAUUGAAAUAACCAUAUGAUCAUCAACUCGAAUUUACACACCAAUACAACAAUUAAAUCAAAACUUUCUCUAGCCAAUCAUAUAAAGAAUUUCAAAUCCUCCAAGUCAACAUUAAUUCAAAUCACAGCACAUUCUAACAAUGCAUAGACUUAGAUAAUUUCCAACAAUUUGAUUCAAUGAAGAAAGGAAAACAUGGCAGUGACUCUGCUAGAGACAUGCAGUUAAGAUCAUAAACCCAUUCUAUAUCAAUUCAUGGUGAUCUAGCAUGCUUGAUAAAAUGAAGACUAACUACCAAAGAGUCACCAAAAACAAAUUGCAAGCUAAAUUGAUCAUAGAAUUUAAGCUAAUUCAAAUCAAUUUUGCAAUAGAAAAUCAUUUCAAUUUAUCACACACCCCCAACACCAACAAAGGUUCCGAGCAUAUAUUUUCACACAUUCAGGUGAAUAAUACAAAUAAUAUAUUAAUCCUUAGUUCGAUGAAACAAGAAGCACUUAGAAAUCACUAAGCACUAAGGUAAAUAAACCCAGCACUGCAGAGAAGUUAAAAGGAUUUAGUACACGGAUAAUAUUCAAUUGACAUUAAAUGUAUGUGCACAGUGUAUUGAUAGGAGGCUAGUAUAAUUUUCCUUUCACAUGAUGUCAAAUCUUUUAGCAUUUUGAGCAUUAUUUCUCCUUAGUAACUCUUGUCAUCGCUCCAAUUGUAUACUAUAUAGUAGUAUUCCUAAAUUUAACUAGCUCUGCUAUGGAAAGUGGAACUAUUCUACUAUUAAAGUUAACUUCCAUUAUUUUCUAAUCACCAAGCUCUACCAUUCUUUCCACUGAAAAUUCACAUUUCUAACCUUUUAACUAAUAAAUAAUUCGCCAUUACAAAUCAAUAAACAAAAAUUUCAAAUAUUCACAACACAUAAGCCAAAUUUCAUAAUCACGGACACAUAUAUCUAUAUCAGUUUAUUUUCAAGGAGAUCAGAUGUAUAAAUCUCAUAAUUAAUUUCUUCAAAAAGAUUAAUGAAAGGGCAUAGUAAUAAUAAGCUAUUGCAGAAAACUGUCGAAAUUCCACCCUCCGACCAGCAACUUGAUCUUGGACCAUCACCGAUUAGUUGCCCACGUCCAGGCGACUCUAACUAGGGCUCAAUUCAGUCCAAACAACACUUAGUCUAUCUGAAUCGAUUCCAUAAAAAUCGCCAUUCGCAAUCUUCAUUUGACCCAGUUUGAUUUCUUCAAAUUCCGACGUCGUCACGUAAACCCAUGGUGGCGAACCACAUGGGUCGACAUUGUCUGCCUUUGCUGCACUUUGCCCAGAAACGGAUCCAACCCAAUUUCGUCCAAAACAGGUGGUGGGGUGUCAGAAAGAGGAUAUUUGAGAGAGAGGGGAGAAACGGGAAUGGGUGUGUUUCCCGUGUUUUGUAGAAAUACUGUACUUUGGCUUGAAAAAUGUUUUGUGUUUU